CCAGCCAGCCGGGUGCGGCCAAGGGCGAGCGGGGCUUUCCCGCACCCCCGGCCGGCCCCCUUCCCCACGGUUCCGACCCAGCUCGGAUCCGACCCGGCGCCCCCAGCCCAGCCGGGGAGCGCUCCACACCGAGACACACCCCCUGCCUGGCCUCCCGGGCCCAGCCAACCCACGUUCCCCUUGGCGAGAUCCACAUAAAACAGACUCAACGCAACGCAACGCAACCCCCCCAAUAUUCAUCCCCAGGCAGGCACUCGGCGUGGGAAACUGCAGCCCAGAUUGUUUGGUAAAUGAGCAGCUGACAACAGGCCCUUCUUGGAAGUGCCGUAACAUCAGUACAGCUCUGCUUAUGUCACACAGAUGGUGCCUGAGAAAUGCCUAGGGUGAGAUCCUCUGAUCGGUCCAAGUGUUCUACAAUCCUCAACCCUAACAGCUGCUCACUCCUCCUCCCAUGUGAGCUUGGAAUGGAUUAUCCCCAUUUUGCUGUUGUUCUGUUGAAUUUGUGCUAAUUGCAAGACGUGACCAGAAUGUUCCACCAGAAAACAUGGAGAGUUUCCUCAAAAAGCCUGGAAACUGGGGCACGGAGCUGAAAUGAGUUGCCAAAGGUCACCCAGCAGGCCAGUGGCAGAACCAGGAAUAAAACCGAGGUCUCCUGAAUCCCAGUCCAGUGCUUUACCCAGUAGACAACACUGCCUGAAACCUGUUUUUAUGCCGAUUUCCCUGCAGACCCCGGGCAGUGGGGGCAUUUGCUCCGCUACACUCAGCUUCUUUGAAAAUCUGGCCCCAUGUCUGAAAUGGGGCAUCCCAGAAUCAGUGCUCACCUCUGGACGUGGGGUUGUAAGCAAAUGUGAUCCCUUCCUCCCAACAAACCCGCAACCUGGCUGGAUCCAGAGCCACAUCCCCUGCUUGCAGUGACUAUGGGUACCAGCCAGUGGUGAGUCUCCCUCACAAGUCUGCCAGUUCUAGUGAACUGGGCAACAGUUGACACCAGUGGCCUGGGUUGUCUGGGGGCCUGUGUGAGCCUGAAGCCUUCUGCUUUCACCUGCCCUGUGCCUCUAGCUCCUACUGUUCAUCCGCAAGGCAGCCUGCUUCACAACUGAGUUGAAAUACAAUCUUAACCUUGUCAGCCCUCGAUUUCUUUUUGAGUCCUUGAGCUGCUCUUCCCGGAUACCACUAAAAACCAUGAGGAUUAGGGCUGUCCCUGCCCGGGCCACCCCUUGGACCCUGUGUUCUCGGAGCUUCCAGGAGGAACCACGCUGCAUCCUGGGAGUACACCGUCUGCAGUACAUUGGGGUUCGUUUGUGGGCAGCUCAGCUUGCACGGGGAGUGGGAACUCCACGGCUCUGCCACUGAAUGGUUCCUGGGCACCGCGUUGACAGUGGGCGUGGUCACAGCCGGCUUCCAUUUUGGAGCACAGACAGGACCUACCCGCAUUGAAAGGUGUUUUCAAUGGGGCCAAAGCCUUGGUUGUAGCCCAGGUCUCGCUCUCAGCACAGUUCAGGGAGCAUGGUUAAAGCAUGUGCUGUAGCUGGUGUGGACUGUUGCAAAGAGUGGGGCGACUGAUUCACAACCACCAACUUCUCCAUGAAGUUUAAACCUUCAGUCUGCUGCUUCCAGAUUGUCCCGUCCAUACUCAGACCGUGAUUCUCAUCAACUCACUUGUUGGCUGUGGUGGAGCACAGUUCAGACUAUGGACGACUUGCGGGCUGGUGGGUGUGGGGGUGUCUGUUCCUUGGAGGAGUCGAUCCUCCCUAUUUGCCUGUGUCUCCAUCCUCUCGAUUGGCUGAUGUAACCUUUUGAAACAGAAGGAAGAUCUGCUGAGGAAAACCUGCUUUUAUUCUCUCAGGGAGAGGGUAGAGGAGCAAUGGAGGGUGGUGGUAUGAGACUCUGGUGAUGGGGGCAGGAUAGGUAGCUAGAUAUCAAGUAAUUAAAUGUGCACAGGAGAUUUUUCUUUUCUAAAGAAAUUAUGUACCUCUGGAUUUAAAACCCCUUGGGAUCUUCCCUGAGAGAGAGACACACACACACACAUCCACACACCCACUAAAAGGUUUAUUUGUUAGACUUCACCCCCCCCACCCUUUGUUGCUUUCACACAAAAUAACUGCAUGUAUCUUUACAUGCCUGGCCCUAUGCAUGAAGGAUACUCAGUGGUCUCAGGGCUGUAUCUCUUCUUUGAAUAAUUAUCUGGGUGCUGGCGGUCUGGCGGGGUGUGUGUGUGUGUGUAGGGGGGUGUUGAAGAACUGCUGUUCAGGAUCUCAUCCUAUUUGCUAAGGGAUCUCUUGAAUUGUUGGUCUCUAUCAGUCACCUACCAUCAUUACUGCAGAUGCUUCGGUAGCCUGUUCGCCUAGGAAUUUAUAUUACACCCAUCAGUGAGGAAUCCGAGUGCCGUCCAAAGGCAUGAUAAUAAUUAGCACACAGGGGCACUGUCCCUGUUGCAAAGGGGGUAGUCACAUCUCUUUGGCUCUGUGCUUUUGGCCUGGGAGAGCAGGGAAAUGGCUGGGUGUGAAGCGACCCAUCCCGUGCACAGCAAUUGCUCUUACCUGCCGUGUGCACAGUUUGAAUUCACUUCUCUCCCUUUUCUGUUCCAUCAGCUCCGCUGGCAGGGUGUCCGUGAAUCGCCCAUAGUUGCAUCACUGUUUGCUUUCACUCCGUACAGAUCAGCUUGGGCUCCAUGCUCUGCGCAGCUGGCUGUUCAGAAAGCAGGCGUGGAAGGGAUUGUGAAUAACAUCUCCUGGAUAAUGCGGGGGGGGGGGGGGUUUGAUUCAAAAGCAUAUUUGAAAAUACCGGGGGCAGCAUUCACCCACCUGUUAAGUAUAGUGUGGAUGGGCCCUUGACCUCACUGUGCCUCAGUUUACCCAUCUGUGAAGACAGCCAAUGAUUCACUAAAUAGAUCUUGAGAUGAUUCUCCCUGCCUUGGAAGGCUGGGUUUGAGCUGCUGCCAUCCCCAGGGCUUUUGUCAGUCUGCUGAGAAGCCCUUAAGUUAUCGCCUAGACACACAACUAUUUUAGUGUUCUUCUGAGGCAGCACAUAGUAAAUAAAUCUCUCCUCCCCCGGCCUUUGCUCUCCUCAGGGGUGAACUGCCAGUUGGAUUUUACAGGCCUUGAAAGUGAUGGGGUUGUAAACUGACUCCCAGCUGGUGAGAAGGAAGAGGUUUCCUUGAUUAUGCUGUACACAAUUGGGUGCAUUAGAGCGGAGCUUGUCCUUUCCAUUUUAACGGGCACCGUCAAAUUAAAAAUGACACUUCUGAUUGAGUAUUUAACUCCUGUUGU
Long non-coding RNA from Gopherus evgoodei (Goodes thornscrub tortoise), 3269 nucleotides. RefSeq lists it as uncharacterized. Lineage: Eukaryota; Metazoa; Chordata; Testudines; Testudinidae. The transcript is spliced from 8 exons. The record is from RefSeq and is a predicted model, not a curated record.